Molecule: non-coding RNA, 1144 nt
Organism: Ciona intestinalis (vase tunicate)
Lineage: Eukaryota; Metazoa; Chordata; Ascidiacea; Phlebobranchia; Cionidae
Source: RefSeq, a predicted model, not a curated record
AUCACGGGUUUGGGCGGUUGUGCGGUCUAAUCCUUUUUAUUUCUGUGAUCCAAUCCGGAUCAACGUCCAGAUUCGAGAGAAUCGCUCUCAGACUUGAAUCAAACUUUGAUUCAGAGGUGCGACGCGAGAGAGUCACUCACUUCUUCUCGUCGAUUUUACGUCACGCGGGAGCGCGCCAAAUUUUAAACGGUCUUGAACAAAGUUUUUCCAAGUCUUUAGACUGUGGAAGUGUUACUUAAUUCUAAGAGGAAACAGGUUUAAUUUCGCUUUAUUUUAUCAGUAAGAUAAGAAAACUGAUUACGCAGGUGGUAAGAUCACAGUAAAACUUGAAAGGAAAACUCGUCAGAAACAAAAGGUGAGGAAUUUUAAUAUUAUUUAUACAACGGUAUCGUCUUAGUGAAACGAGGACUAACUUAACUUAGCUUUAUUCAAAUAGAAUCAAAGUAUGCUGAAACACAAAGCAUAGGUUUUACAAAUAUUAACGACAUAACGAUGAGUAAUAUAGCCUAACAGUCUUAAAAGCCGAACUAAGAAUACUAUGAACUGAAAGGGAGUCGCUUAUAAAGGAUCGCUGAUUACUAAGAAAUGUUAAAGGAAACGAGGAUUAGUAUUGAAAAGAAUUCGCGGUAUUUCGACAUAGAAAUAGUAAAACAAAAAUACAGAUUACAAACAAACGAUAAUAUAAUAGCACUCUUAUGUGAAACAACGCCAUUACAAAUUCAAAUAUCGACUAUAAGAUUUGAAAGUGGACCAUAUGUUACAACUCCACUGAAGAAAGAUGGCAAGCGUACGUUGCGUAACUUAAAAGUUAAAUUUAGGCGACACGACAACUGAUUUCCCGAACCACCAUCGUUUUACUGAAUGAAUUGUCGCCAACCCGGAAUGUGAAAAUUGGAACGUCGUAAAUUAUAAUUUAAAUUGAGUGAAUGUGAUGUCACGUGGAAACGUUUAUGAGAGAGAAGCCUGUUCAACGUUUAUUAAAGGAGAUAAUUUCGUAUCUGCGAACUUUCCUACUUCAUGCCUCAGCAAUAUUCCUGGGAAUACGCCGUUUUGACAGUUAUUUAUAAACACCAUUUCUUAUCUUCUGUUGUGUUUUUAUGUUCCUUACUGAUUUGAACUGUUUGUCUUUCAUUGCGUAUGAGUU